RNAcentral lists this non-coding RNA (126 nucleotides) under Photobacterium sp. RNAcentral describes it as "Glycine sequence". It matches the Rfam family "Glycine riboswitch aptamer". Rfam says of the family: This family represents the bacterial glycine riboswitch. Glycine riboswitches usually consist of two metabolite-binding aptamers domains with similar structures in tandem. Lineage: Bacteria; Pseudomonadati; Pseudomonadota; Gammaproteobacteria; Vibrionales; Vibrionaceae. The record is from RNAcentral.
AUGAAGACAGCAGGAGAGUGGCAAGAUACGUUAUUGUAUCCGCCCGCCGAAGAAGUAAGCAGUUUAACCAACCAGAAUUAUUCUGUUAUUAAGUUGUAAAUCUUUCAGGCACCGCAAUGUUAAUUC